UCAUGGCUCAGAUUGAACGCUGGCGGCAGGCCUAACACAUGCAAGUCGAGCGGCAGCGGGAAAGUAGCUUGCUACUUUUGCCGGCGAGCGGCGGACGGGUGAGUAAUGCCUGGGAAAUUGCCCAGUCGAGGGGGAUAACAGUUGGAAACGACUGCUAAUACCGCAUACGCCCUACGGGGGAAAGCAGGGGACCUUCGGGCCUUGCGCGAUUGGAUAUGCCCAGGUGGGAUUAGCUAGUUGGUGAGGUAAUGGCUCACCAAGGCGACGAUCCCUAGCUGGUCUGAGAGGAUGAUCAGCCACACUGGAACUGAGACACGGUCCAGACUCCUACGGGAGGCAGCAGUGGGGAAUAUUGCACAAUGGGGGAAACCCUGAUGCAGCCAUGCCGCGUGUGUGAAGAAGGCCUUCGGGUUGUAAAGCACUUUCAGCGAGGAGGAAAG
This 440-nucleotide ribosomal RNA is filed under the name Aeromonas dhakensis. Its description in RNAcentral is "bacterial SSU rRNA". It matches the Rfam family "Bacterial small subunit ribosomal RNA", at positions 17 to 451 of the family's 1533-position model. The record is from RNAcentral. Lineage: Bacteria; Pseudomonadati; Pseudomonadota; Gammaproteobacteria; Aeromonadales; Aeromonadaceae.